AGUGAACGCUGGCGGUAGGCCUAACACAUGCAAGUCGAACGGCAGCACAGUAAGAGCUUGCUCUUACGGGUGGCGAGUGGCGGACGGGUGAGGAAUACAUCGGAAUCUACUUUUUCGUGGGGGAUAACGUAGGGAAACUUACGCUAAUACCGCAUACGACCUACGGGUGAAAGCAGGGGAUCUUCGGACCUUGCGCGAUUGAAUAAGCCGAUGUCGGAUUAGCUAGUUGGCGGGGUAAAGGCCCACCAAGGCGACGAUCCGUAGCUGGUCUGAGAGGAUGAUCAGCCACACUGGAACUGAGACACGGUCCAGACUCCUACGGGAGGCAGCAGUGGGGAAUAUUGGACAAUGGGCGCAAGCCUGAUCCAGCCAUACCGCGUGGGUGAAGAAGGCCUUCGGGUUGUAAAGCCCUUUUGUUGGGAAAGAAAAGCAGCAGGUUAAGACCCCGCUGUUCUGACGGUACCCAAAGAAUAAGCACCGGCUAACUUCGU
This 491-nucleotide ribosomal RNA is filed under the name uncultured bacterium. RNAcentral describes it as "partial 16S ribosomal RNA". It matches the Rfam family "Bacterial small subunit ribosomal RNA", at positions 29 to 506 of the family's 1533-position model. The record is from RNAcentral.